ACCUACAGAUCCACUCCUCAGGAUACCCCAUCCCACCAGGGCAGCCAGUAAAAAAGUAGGACAGGAAUAGGAUCUCUUGCCAUUGGGUGUGAAUCGACUCUGCCCCUCAAAGUGAAUUUGGAGAUUCUACAGCA
RNAcentral lists this small nucleolar RNA (134 nucleotides) under Sorex araneus (European shrew). RNAcentral's name for it is "Small nucleolar RNA SNORA68 (ENSSARG00000019902.1)". Lineage: Eukaryota; Metazoa; Chordata; Mammalia; Eulipotyphla; Soricidae. The record is from RNAcentral.